AACGAACGCUGGCGGCAUGCCUAACACAUGCAAGUCGAACGAGACCUUCGGGUCUAGUGGCGCACGGGUGCGUAACGCGUGGGAACCUGCCCUUAGGUUCGGAAUAACUCCCCGAAAGGGGUGCUAAUACCGGAUAAUAUCUUCGGACCAAAGAUUUAUCGCCUUUGGAUGGGCCCGCGUUGGAUUAGCUAGUUGGUAGGGUAAAAGCCUACCAAGGCGACGAUCCAUAGCUGGUCUGAGAGGAUGAUCAGCCACACUGGGACUGAGACACGGCCCAGACUCCUACGGGAGGCAGCAGUGGGGAAUAUUGGACAAUGGGCGAAAGCCUGAUCCAGCAAUGCCGCGUGAGUGAUGAAGGCCUUAGGGUUGUAAAGCUCUUUUACCCGGGAUGAUAAUGACAGUACCGGGAGAAUAAGCUCCGGCCAACUCCGUG
This 433-nucleotide ribosomal RNA is filed under the name uncultured bacterium. RNAcentral's name for it is "partial 16S ribosomal RNA". It matches the Rfam family "Bacterial small subunit ribosomal RNA", at positions 29 to 507 of the family's 1533-position model. The record is from RNAcentral.